RNAcentral lists this small nucleolar RNA (142 nucleotides) under Nannospalax galili (Upper Galilee mountains blind mole rat). Its description in RNAcentral is "Small nucleolar RNA SNORA73 family (ENSNGAG00000006412.1)". The record is from RNAcentral. Lineage: Eukaryota; Metazoa; Chordata; Mammalia; Rodentia; Spalacidae.
CCAAAUGUUCUUGCCCCAUGGUAUUGACUCCUUUUCCACAACGUUGGAAAUGAAGCUGGGCUUCGAGUCUGAGUAUGCCUAUUACAACUUCUCAGAGUCCUGUGGACAAUGAAUGAGAAGACUAAUCAUGCAGGAAACAGUC